Molecule: ribosomal RNA, 496 nt
Filed under: uncultured bacterium
Lineage: Bacteria
Description: bacterial SSU rRNA
Rfam family: Bacterial small subunit ribosomal RNA
Source: RNAcentral
GGCUCAGAUUGAACGCUGGCGGCAGGCCUAACACAUGCAAGUCGAACGGUAACAGGAAGAAGCUUGCUUCUUUGCUGACGAGUGGCGGACGGGUGAGUAAUGUCUGGGAACUGCCUGAUGGAGGGGGAUAACUACUGGGAACGGUAGCUAAUACCGCAUAACGUCGCAAGACCAAAGAGGGGGACCUUCGGGCCUCUUGCCAUCGGAUGUGCCCAGAUGGGAUUAGCUAGUAGGUGGGGUAACGGCUCACCUAGGCGACGAUCCCUAGCUGGUCUGAGAGGAUGACCAGCCACACUGGAACUGAGACACGGUCCAGACUCCUACGGGAGGCAGCAGUGGGGAAUAUUGCACAAUGGGCGCAAGCCUGAUGCAGCCAUGCCGCGUGUAUGAAGAAGGCCUUCGGGUUGUAAAGUACUUUCAGCGGGGAGGAAGGGAGUAAAGUUAAUACCUUUGCCCAUUGACGUUACCCGCAGAAGAAGCACCGGCUAACUCCGUG